Phrynosoma platyrhinos (Desert horned lizard) is the source of this 71-nucleotide non-coding RNA. Lineage: Eukaryota; Metazoa; Chordata; Lepidosauria; Squamata; Phrynosomatidae. The record is from the annotation of a GenBank genome assembly.
GCCAGCAUGCCUUAGUGGUUUGGGUGCUAGACUAGGAUUCUGGAGACUAGGGUUCAAAUCCCUGCUUGGCC